GCACACACAGCACCUACAUACAGCACACACAGCCCACAAACAGCACCCACACACAUACAUCACCCUCGCACACACAGCACCCACACACAUACAACACCCACACACACCCAGCACACUAACAGCAUCCUCACAAACCCACAAAACCCACACAAAACACCCGCACAGCACCCACACACAAACAGCACACUCACACACAAACAGCACCCUGACAAACACACAACACCCACAAACAGCACACAAACAGCACACUAACAGGACCCAGACAAACACGCACACAAACACCCUCUC
Pelobates cultripes (western spadefoot toad) is the source of this 288-nucleotide non-coding RNA. Lineage: Eukaryota; Metazoa; Chordata; Amphibia; Anura; Pelobatidae. The record is from the annotation of a GenBank genome assembly.